CCUACGGGAGGCAGCAGUGGGGAAUAUUGCACAAUGGGGGAAACCCUGAUGCAGCGACGCCGCGUGAAGGAAGAAGUAUUUCGGUAUGUAAACUUCUAUCAGCAGGGAAGAAAAUGACGGUACCUGACUAAGAAGCCCCGGCUAACUACGUGCCAGCAGCCGCGGUAAUACGGAGGAUGCGAGCGUUAUCCGGAUUUACUGGGUGUAAAGGGAGCGUAGACGGCGCGGCAAGUCUGAAGUGAAAGGCAGGGGCUUAACCCCUGAACUGCUUUGGAAACUGCCAUGCUAGAGUGCUGGAGAGGGAAGUGGAAUUCAUAGUGUAGCGGUGAAAUGCGUAGAUAUUAGGAGGAACACCAGUGGCGAAGGCGGCUUACUGGACAGUAACUGACGUUGAGGCUCGAAAGCGUGGGGAGCAAACAGGAUUAGAUACCCCAGUGUC
RNAcentral lists this ribosomal RNA (439 nucleotides) under uncultured bacterium. RNAcentral's name for it is "partial 16S ribosomal RNA". It matches the Rfam family "Bacterial small subunit ribosomal RNA", at positions 338 to 795 of the family's 1533-position model. The record is from RNAcentral.